Molecule: non-coding RNA, 195 nt
Organism: Parasteatoda tepidariorum (common house spider)
Lineage: Eukaryota; Metazoa; Arthropoda; Arachnida; Araneae; Theridiidae
Source: RefSeq, a predicted model, not a curated record
UUAUUUUUGUCAACAUUUCAGAUAUCUUUAAAGAACUUUCGGAACGUUUGGGUGUAGCUUUAUAACGCAAAUGAGGCAUCCUAGAAUUUAAUUCAGAUACUAAUGGUUGAAGCGGUACCAUACAGUGAGCAUCUGUGUGUCUACCAAUCCUUCUCUUGUCUUGAUGCAAAUAAAUAUUUGUAGUUUGUCUUGGUA